UAAUGGAAAUAACCCAGCUUGAAAGAUGCUCUGCGCUAGGUUGCAACCACAGGCAGUUCCAGGCUUACUUAGAAGCCCUGAAUUUACCAUCAGCUUCUAGCCAGGGCUACUAGUUCCUGGCUGCUCUGGAGGCCACCCCAUGAUUGCCAUGGGAACCAGCCACUCACAAAGCCUCUGGGGCUCCUGAACCCCGCCCCUGCUCUCUGUGAGCCUUCUCAGAUGCUGCCUUGGGAACUGCCCAGGUGCUGGCACCUCCAGCCAGUCAACUCCUUAGAGUGACCUUGGGCCAGAAGAUGGGGGCAGGGCCUCAGUGGGGACAGAACCACCCCACCUACAGCUGCUUUUAUAAAUGGAGAAAUGCAUUCAAAGUUCCCAAGCAACCAGCCAGUAAGUGAACUACUGAAGCUCCUGUGAGAUGAAGUGGCUUCACUCUUGGCGGCUAGUAUGAGAAAGGCAAGAGCCAAGAACCAGCUUUCUGUCUACCAGAGGAAAUACGACAUCCACGGAAGCCUCUGCCACAUCCAAAGAAGGAAUUAAUCCAUCAGUACUCAUUGAGUGUCUACUAUAGUCACAGCACUCUGCUUGUGGUUGAAAAUAUACAAGAGAAAGAUUAAAAGACCCAGUUCAAUACGUCUGUCUGCGGAAGGGGAAAUGAAGCAUCUGCUUGGUGCCUCCAUUAGGAAGAUGACUUACGACAGGCAGCUGUCAGGCAAGGCGUCUGCAUUCUGACGGAGCCGGCUAGAGCAUGGAGCUGAAAGCCUUCAAGAAGCCAAUGAAAGUCCCAGAACCUUAGCCCAGCCCUUCCCCACCCGCUCCCCCAGAAGCAACGUGAACUUGGGUGCCCACAUACACACAACUGUGAGAAUAAUUUCAGCGUUUUCGAGCUUCCUCACCCCCAAGGUCCAGACCCGGAUGCCACAUCUAUCAGUUCUGAGCUGUGUGAUGUGGGUGGAAUUACUCGCUGUCCUCCUUUGUAAGAUGGGCAUGCACGAACCACACCCAGCUCAUGGGUUUGUUCUGAAGAUGACAUGAGCAGCUGGAGCUGGAGCCCUGGGCACGGCACCUUGCCCAUACUGGGAGCUGGUCAUUAUUAGCUGGUAUUCUCAUGCCCAGGCCAGGAGUUUAAGAUUCCCCAGUCAAAGAGAAUAAUAUAGGUACUUUACAGUUGAUCAGUGCCAAUUUUUCUUUUAAAUCUACCUUACAGGUUUUCUGGAGUAAUGGUUCAGAGUAUGGAUUUACUUUACAAUAUCGAUAAUUUACUUUAAAAUGGUUUGACUUUGAGCAAGGGAACACUGAGUUUGUAUUAGCUGGAGCCUCCAGGGUGGUCAGCUGGUGUUAUAUCACAAAGACGUCAGGUCUUCAGAUCACUGAGGCUUUGAAAAUUAACAUCGUGAGCGUCAGAAGUGAGUUUUACUGGUGAAAUGAGAGGCUUGCUAGACUACAUGAUGAAUAUCGGACAUAGGCUCUCGAUGGCAAAAUCAAAGGUAUUCGAGUGUGGAGGGCUGGGUAAACAUUGUAAAGGCGCUCCCCACGUGUGCAUGAGGCGCUGUAGGAAUCCAGUGAGGCCUGUGGCCAUGGCCACAGGGACGGCACCGAAUGUUGCUGUUGCUUCUGUGAACUUUUCAGACAAGAGGUAGACCCAUCAAGCUCACAGCCGUGUGAACUGUCCUGGGCUUGCUUUCUCAAGGAAUGUUGGUUUAAUAAAAGGCCUGUGUUUGUGGCCGAACUUGG
This 1731-nucleotide long non-coding RNA is filed under the name Equus asinus (donkey). RNAcentral describes it as "lncRNA (ENSEASG00005030846.1)". Lineage: Eukaryota; Metazoa; Chordata; Mammalia; Perissodactyla; Equidae. The record is from RNAcentral.